Oncorhynchus keta (chum salmon) is the source of this 2002-nucleotide RNA transcript. It is a transcript of the gene named arfaptin-1-like, with no coding region annotated. Lineage: Eukaryota; Metazoa; Chordata; Actinopteri; Salmoniformes; Salmonidae. The record is from RefSeq and is a predicted model, not a curated record. The transcript is spliced from 9 exons.
UACUUCCGGGAUUUGAAUGUAGUUUUGAUAUUUUGUUUUACAUUUCCGGUUUUCCGAAAAGUUCCAAUUGUACUUUUGUCACAAAGUCUCUAAUAGUUUCCUGGCGCAGUUUGACAUUGAUCUAGAGAUUAAAUCCAAAGAAAACGGACGAAGAAAUACAUCUGAAAGAAAUAGAAGAAAGGAAGGAUGAUGGUGGAGGGGGAGAACCAGAGAGGGGAGACCCUCAUACCCAGCGAGGGAGAGGGGUCUGGUGGACAGGAGGCCAUCCACAUGAAGGAGUCCGUUGUCGAGGACAACACAGAACCCGAUGAGGGUUCACGGAAGCCAACCACAGGACCAGUGGUUGUCACGGGAAACCAGAAAAUGCCCGCCAUCGAGAAACUGGAACAGGUUCGCAAAUGGAGCAUCACUACUUAUAAGUGUACUAAGCAGGUUCUGUCAGAGAAGAUGGGUCGUGGAUCCCGUACGGUCGACCCAGAACUCGAGGCCCGCAUCGACAUUCUCCGUGACGACCGCCGCCGUUAUGAUCACGUGACCUGCCUGGCCCAGACACUCGCCACGCAGCUCGCCCAGGUCACACAGACGCAAAGGACUCUGGGCGAUGCCUUCACCGAGCUCAGCCUCAAAACGCCGCCACUACACGUAGAGUUUGGUCUGAACGGGGACACCCAGCGGUUCCUGUCGAAGAGCGGAGAGGUCAUGGUGUCAGCUAUGAACUCUUUCACCUCCGAUAUGAACACGCUGGUUAACAAAACUAUAGAGGACACCAUGGUUAACGUGAAACACUACGAGACAGCCAGGAUAGAAUAUGAUGCGUACCGUUGUGACCUGGAGGACUUGAACCUGGGACCUCGAGACACCGCCACCCUCCCCAAACUAGAGCAGGCCCAGAGAACCUUCCAGAACCAGAGAGAGAAGUAUGAGAAGAGCCGAAACGAUCUGUCAGUCAAACUCAAACUACUGGAGGAGAAUAAGGUAAAGGUUCUCCAGCAUCAGUUGGUAUUGUUCCAUGGUGCUGUAGCCUCCAACAGCACCUCCAACCACCAGCACCUGGAGCUCAGCCUGCAGCAGGCAAGCACCAAGCUACCCAUGCCCGGCACGGAGCCUCCUUCCUGGCUAGAGGAGAGCUCAUCACCCCAAUAACCAUCCACCAUGUCUGGGGGCCCAUGUAACCUUCCAGUAUCUUAAUGCAAGUUGGGGCCUCUCAACUGCCACAUCUGUGGGACAAAACAGGGGGUAUUGUCGACAGGGGGUAUUGUCCUAUAGAGCCUAUAGGUUCUCCUCUUACCCUAUAGGUUCUCCUCUUACCCUAUAGGUUCUCCUCUUACCCUAUAGGUUCUCCUCUUACCCUAUAGGUUCUCCUCUUACCCUAUAGGUUCUCCUCUUACCCUAUAGGUUCUCCUCUUACCCUAUAUGUCCUAUAGGUUCUCCUCUUACCCUAUAGGUUCUCCUCUUACCCUAUAGGUUCUCCUCUUACCCUAUAGAACCUAUAGGUUCUCCUCUUACCCUAUAGGUUCUUCUCUUACCCUAUAGAUCCUAUAGGUUCUCCUCUUACCCUAUAGGUUCUCCUCUUACCCUAUAGAACCUAUAGGUUAUUCUCUUACCCUAUAGAACCUAUAGGUUAUUCUCUUACCCUAUAGCUUCUUCUCUUACCGUAUAGAUCCUAUAGGUUCUCCUCUUACCCUAUAGCUUCUUCUCUUACCGUAUAGAUCCUAUAGGUCCUCCUCUUACCCUAUAUAUCCUAUAGGUUCUCCUCUUACCCUAUAGGUUCUUCUCUUACCCUAUAGGUCAUAUAGGUUCUCCUCUUACCCUAUAGCUUCUGAUCUUGCCCUAUAGAACCUAUAGGUUCUCCUCUUACCCUAUAUCUUACCCUAUAGGUUCUCCUCUUACCCUAUAGGUUCUCCUCUUACCCUAUAGAACCUAUAGGUUAUUCUCUUACCCUAUAGGUUCUCCUCUUACCCGAUAGAUCCUAUAGGUCCUCCUCUUACCCUAUAGAACCUAU